This 460-nucleotide ribosomal RNA is filed under the name uncultured bacterium. Its description in RNAcentral is "partial 16S ribosomal RNA". It matches the Rfam family "Bacterial small subunit ribosomal RNA", at positions 338 to 795 of the family's 1533-position model. The record is from RNAcentral.
CCUACGGGGGGCAGCAGUGAGGAAUAUUGGUCAAUGGACGAGAGUCUGAACCAGCCAAGUAGCGUGAAGGAUGACUGCCCUAUGGGUUGUAAACUUCUUUUAUAUGGGAAUAAAAUGUUCCACGUGUGGGAUUUUGUAUGUACCAUAUGAAUAAGGAUCGGCUAACUCCGUGCCAGCAGCCGCGGUAAUACGGAGGAUCCGAGCGUUAUCCGGAUUUAUUGGGUUUAAAGGGAGCGUAGGUGGAUUGUUAAGUCAGUUGUGAAAGUUUGCGGCUCAACCGUAAAAUGGCAGUUGAAACUGGCAGUCUUGAGUACAGUAGAGGUGGGCGGAAUUCGUGGUGUAGCGGUGAAAUGCUUAGAUAGCACGAAGAACUCCGAUUGCGAAGGCAGUUCACUGGACUGCAACUGACACUGAGGCUCGAAAGUGUGGGUAUCAAACAGGAUUAGAUACCCGGGUAGUC